Molecule: ribosomal RNA, 241 nt
Filed under: uncultured bacterium
Lineage: Bacteria
Description: partial 16S ribosomal RNA
Rfam family: Bacterial small subunit ribosomal RNA
Source: RNAcentral
GGGUGAGUAACAGGUGGAUAAUCUGCCUAUCAGUGGGGAAUACCGGUUGGAAACGACUGUUAAUACCGCAUACGGAUAUAUUUUCUUCGGAUUAUAUAUAGAAAGGGCCUUUUGGUUCGCUGAUAGAUGAGUCCGCCCCCCAUUAGGUAGUUGGUGUGAUAAAAGCGCACCAAGCCUGCGAUGGGUAGCCGGACUGAGAGGUUGGCCGGCCACACUGGAACUGAGACACGGUCCAGACACC